GCCGACUUCCAUGGCCACCGUCCUGCUGUCUUUAGUUACUAACGCCUUUUGUGGGGUCCGAUAUGCGUUGAUUUUGGCACUAUAACUUUACGACCGGUUCAUCCCGCAUCGCCAGUUCUGCUUACCAAAAAUGGCCCACUAAAGGCCUUUACUAUCUAUCCACUUGCUACGUAGUCCGCUAGCGUAGUGGAAAACACACACAUUAACAGUUUGAGAAUAGGUUGAGAACGUUUCGAACCCAACGACUCUAAUCAUUCGCUUUACCGCAUGUGACUAUCAUCUACUAGACCUCAGCUAUCCUUAGGGAAACUUCGAAAGGAACCAGCUACUAGAUGGUUCGAUUGGUCUUUCGCCCCUAUACAUAAUUCUGAUGAUCGAUUUGCACGUCAGAACCAUUGCGGACCUCCACCAGAGUUUCCCCUGGCUUCAUCCUUUUCAUGCAUAGUUCACCAUCUUUCGGGUUCCAGAGCACGAGCUACGAGUACGGCAACGCCACCCAUUGCUGGAUGACGCAUAAUUGCCAUCUCCGAUUUGCCUAGACCAUAUAUAUAAUAAUAUAUUUGUUUAUAUAUAUUUUAUAAAUAAAAUAAUAAAAACGUGUGUGUCUCAUCAUACAAACAUACGAGCCGUGUAUAAAUACACGACACUCUCGAUUGCUUUCGUUAAGUUUGACGGAUUCUAUAUAAAUGAACCUUUGCGUCACGCUCGUUCGCUGGACUCCUUGGUCC
This 728-nucleotide ribosomal RNA is filed under the name Miroclaviger sp. JP-2014. RNAcentral describes it as "partial 28S ribosomal RNA". The record is from RNAcentral. Lineage: Eukaryota; Metazoa; Arthropoda; Insecta; Coleoptera; Staphylinidae.